AACGCAUAUUGCGCUCUUUGGUAUUCCAAAGAGCAUGCUUGUUUGAGUAUCAGUAAACACCUCAAAACUCUUGAUCUUUUUCAAGCGUUUUGGACUUGAGCAAACCCAACGCCUUUUCUUUUAAGAUCUGUUGCGGCGGGUUGCUUGAAAUGCAGGUGCAGCUGGACAAUCUCCUGAGCUAAAAGCAUAUUUAUUUAGUCCCGUCAAACGGAUUAUUACUUUUUGCUGCAGCUAACAUAAAGGGAGUUUUGACCAUUAUGGCUGACUGAUGCAGGAUUUCACAGAGAAAAGGCCGGCAACGGUUUUGUCUCUGUCAAACUCGAUCUCAAAUCAAGUAAGACUACCCGCUGAACUUAA
Molecule: unclassified non-coding RNA, 357 nt
Filed under: uncultured Mortierella
Lineage: Eukaryota; Fungi; Mortierellomycota; Mortierellomycetes; Mortierellales; Mortierellaceae
Description: sequence contains ITS2
Rfam family: 5.8S ribosomal RNA (bases 1-52)
Source: RNAcentral